UACGGGGGGGGCAAGCGUUGUUCGGAAUUACUGGGCGUAAAGGGCUCGUAGGCGGCCAACUAAGUCGGACGUGAAAUCCCCAGGCUCAACCUGGGAACUGCGUCUGAUACUGGAGGGCUUGAGUGCGGGAGAGGGAUGUGGAAUUCCAGGUGUAGCGGUGAAAUGCGUAGAUAUCUGGAGGAACACCGGUGGCGAAGGCGGCUCACUGGCCCGGUACUGACGCUGAGGUGCGAAAGCGUGGGGAGCAAACAGG
RNAcentral lists this ribosomal RNA (253 nucleotides) under uncultured bacterium. RNAcentral describes it as "partial 16S ribosomal RNA". It matches the Rfam family "Bacterial small subunit ribosomal RNA", at positions 524 to 776 of the family's 1533-position model. The record is from RNAcentral.